RNAcentral lists this ribosomal RNA (327 nucleotides) under uncultured eukaryote. RNAcentral's name for it is "partial 18S ribosomal RNA". It matches the Rfam family "Eukaryotic small subunit ribosomal RNA", at positions 1470 to 1796 of the family's 1831-position model. The record is from RNAcentral.
CCCUUAGAUGUUCUGGGCCGCACACGCGCUACACUGAAGGAGGCAGCGUGUACUCCUGGAUCGAAAGAUUUGGGUAACCCGCGAAUCUCCUUCGUGCUAGGGAUUGAGGUUUGCAAUUAUCCUUCAUGAACGAGGAAUUCCCAGUAAGUGCAAGUCAUAAGCUUGCGCUGACUACGUCCCUGCCCUUUGUACACACCGCCCGUCGCUACUACCGAUUGAAUGAUUUAGUGAGGACUUCGGACUGGGGCCGAUGCGGCUUUCGGGCUGCGUCGGUAUUCUGGAAAGAUGUCCAAACUGUAUCAUUUAGAGGAAGUAAAAGUCGUANCA